AGAAGCAGCCAUCAUUUAAAGAAAGCGUAAUAGCUCACUGGUCGAGUCGGCCUGCGCGGAAGAUGUAACGGGGCUAAACCAUGCACCGAAGCUGCGGCAGCGACGCUUAUGCGUUGUUGGGUAGGGGAGCGUUCUGUAAGCCUGUGAAGGUGUACUGUGAGGUAUGCUGGAGGUAUCAGAAGUGCGAAUGCUGACAUAAGUAACGAUAAAGCGGGUGAAAAGCCCGCUCGCCGGAAGACCAAGGGUUCCUGUCCAACGUUAAUCGGGGCAGGGUGAGUCGACCCCUAAGGCGAGGCCGAAAGGCGUAGUCGAUGGGAAACAGGUUAAUAUUCCUGUACUUGGUGUUACUGCGAAGGGGGGACGGAGAAGGCUAUGUUGGCCGGGCGACGGUUGUCCCGGUUUAAGCGUGUAGGCUGGUUUUCCAGGCAAAUCCGGAAAAUCAAGGCUGAGGCGUGAUGACGAGGCACUACGGUGCUGAAGCAACAAAUGCCCUGCUUCCAGGAAAAGCCUCUAAGCAUCAGGUAACAUCAAAUCGUACCCCAAACCGACACAGGUGGUCAGGUAGAGAAUACCAAGGCGCUUGAGAGAACUCGGGUGAAGGAACUAGGCAAAAUGGUGCCGUAACUUCGGGAGAA
Molecule: ribosomal RNA, 635 nt
Filed under: Escherichia coli
Lineage: Bacteria; Pseudomonadati; Pseudomonadota; Gammaproteobacteria; Enterobacterales; Enterobacteriaceae
Description: partial 23S ribosomal RNA
Rfam family: Bacterial large subunit ribosomal RNA
Source: RNAcentral